AUUUGCUCUUGGAAUUCUCCCUCUCAGGAAACUAACAGCCUGCUAUGAAGCCCAAGCCACAAAGAGAGGCCAAGGGGAAAUAAACAGAGUGUGAUUAUAUGCAAAACCUACAAGAAUGAGGACCUCCAAACUCAGUGUACAGAGUGAUUUUCUGCUGAAACAAUUGGAAAAUAAAAGAGACAUCAGUGUGUGAAUGACGACUUUCUGUUGCUGACUUGGAAGACAGAGGAAUUGGGUCAUGAGCCGAGGAAGGUGGGCAGCUUCUAAAAGGCGGAAAAGGCAGGGGAUGGCUCUGGCAGAGAAUCACUCCUGAGUACAACUUUCUGGCGGAAGCUCUAAUACAAGAUGUAUACAGAAAAUUACAUUAAAUACCUGUCUCCAGCCUGCUUCAUGUAUUUCUGCAAUGACUAAAGAUGCAUGUUCAGUUUUGGAGGAAUCUUGGGCAACCUUCAGAAAAGAAGAGCGGCAUUGAAUUAAAUGGACUAUAAAAGGAAAUCUUUCAGCUGAAGUAUUCUGACAGCAGCAUAUUCUUGCCAACCAGGUCGUUCCAAAUGUGUAUCUGACCAUUAUUUUAAAUUAGAAGAUAUACCACUGUCAAACCAUAUCAGCCAAGAAUAAAAAGUGACAUAAUAAUGUUAAAGGAAAAA
This 647-nucleotide long non-coding RNA is filed under the name Homo sapiens (human). RNAcentral's name for it is "long intergenic non-protein coding RNA 2466". The record is from RNAcentral. Lineage: Eukaryota; Metazoa; Chordata; Mammalia; Primates; Hominidae.